This 361-nucleotide transfer RNA is filed under the name uncultured Microcystis sp. RNAcentral describes it as "partial 16S-23S ribosomal RNA intergenic spacer". The stretch from base 136 to 209 matches the Rfam family "tRNA". The record is from RNAcentral. Lineage: Bacteria; Bacillati; Cyanobacteriota; Cyanophyceae; Chroococcales; Microcystaceae.
AAAGGGAGACCUAAUUCGGGUAUAAGACGAAAAAAUAGUAGUCGAAACCAAGAAUCAAUCCCAAAAGGUCGGAGCGAGGCGAAAUUGGCUUUCAAACUAGGUUCUGGGUUCACAGAAGACCUGAAUCAGGAACAAGGGCUAUUAGCUCAGGUGGUUAGAGCGCACCCCUGAUAAGGGUGAGGUCCCUGGUUCGAGUCCAGGAUGGCCCACCUGCACAGGUGGUAAAAACAAGAGAAGCGAGGAAUCAGCACCUUAUCUUACUUACAUAGUAAGAGAGAGUGCUGGCUCUGAGUAAAGAGUCCAGAGGAACCUUGAAAACUGCAUAGAGCUAGGUGAAAAAGCCAAAAAAGAAGACCGCAAG